RNAcentral lists this ribosomal RNA (1372 nucleotides) under uncultured bacterium. RNAcentral describes it as "bacterial SSU rRNA". It matches the Rfam family "Bacterial small subunit ribosomal RNA", at positions 28 to 1381 of the family's 1533-position model. The record is from RNAcentral.
GAUGAACGCUGGCGGCGUGCCUAAUACAUGCAAGUCGAGCGAACGGACGAGAAGCUUGCUUCUCUGAUGUUAGCGGCGGACGGGUGAGUAACACGUGGAUAACCUACCUAUAAGACUGGGAUAACUUCGGGAAACCGGAGCUAAUACCGGAUAAUAUUUUGAACCGCAUGGUUCAAAAGUGAAAGACGGUCUUGCUGUCACUUAUAGAUGGAUCCGCGCUGCAUUAGCUAGUUGGUAAGGUAACGGCUUACCAAAGCAACGAUGCAUAGCCGACCUGAGAGGGUGAUCGGCCACACUGGAACUGAGACACGGUCCAGACUCCUACGGGAGGCAGCAGUAGGGAAUCUUCCGCAAUGGGCGAAAGCCUGACGGAGCAACGCCGCGUGAGUGAUGAAGGUCUUCGGAUCGUAAAACUCUGUUAUUAGGGAAGAACAUAUGUGUAAGUAACUGUGCACAUCUUGACGGUACCUAAUCAGAAAGCCACGGCUAACUACGUGCCAGCAGCCGCGGUAAUACGUAGGUGGCAAGCGUUAUCCGGAAUUAUUGGGCGUAAAGCGCGCGUAGGCGGUUUUUUAAGUCUGAUGUGAAAGCCCACGGCUCAACCGUGGAGGGUCAUUGGAAACUGGAAAACUUGAGUGCAGAAGAGGAAAGUGGAAUUCCAUGUGUAGCGGUGAAAUGCGCAGAGAUAUGGAGGAACACCAGUGGCGAAAGCGACUUUCUGGUCUGUAACUGACGCUGAUGUGCGAAAGCGUGGGGAUCAAACAGGAUUAGAUACCCUGGUAGUCCACGCCGUAAACGAUGAGUGCUAAGUGUUAGGGGGUUUCCGCCCCUUAGUGCUGCAGCUAACGCAUUAAGCACUCCGCCUGGGGAGUACGACCGCAAGGUUGAAACUCAAAGGAAUUGACGGGGACCCGCACAAGCGGUGGAGCAUGUGGUUUAAUUCGAAGCAACGCGAAGAACCUUACCAAAUCUUGACAUCCUUUGACAACUCUAGAGAUAGAGCCUUCCCCUUCGGGGGACAAAGUGACAGGUGGUGCAUGGUUGUCGUCAGCUCGUGUCGUGAGAUGUUGGGUUAAGUCCCGCAACGAGCGCAACCCUUAAGCUUAGUUGCCAUCAUUAAGUUGGGCACUCUAAGUUGACUGCCGGUGACAAACCGGAGGAAGGUGGGGAUGACGUCAAAUCAUCAUGCCCCUUAUGAUUUGGGCUACACACGUGCUACAAUGGACAAUACAAAGGGCAGCGAAACCGCGAGGUCAAGCAAAUCCCAUAAAGUUGUUCUCAGUUCGGAUUGUAGUCUGCAACUCGACUACAUGAAGCUGGAAUCGCUAGUAAUCGUAGAUCAGCAUGCUACGGUGAAUACGUUCCCGGGUCU